AACGAACGCUGGCGGCAUGCCUAACACAUGCAAGUCGAACGGGAUCCUAGCUUGCUAGGUGAGAGUGGCGGACGGGUGAGUAACACGUGGGAAUCUGCCUUUUGGUUCGGGAUAACCGCGGGAAACUGCGGCUAAUACCGAAUGCCCUCGAGAGAGGAAAGAUUUAUCGCCAGAAGAGGAGCCCGCGUCCGAUUAGGUAGUUGGUGGGGUAAAGGCCUACCAAGCCGACGAUCGGUAGCUGGUCUGAGAGGAUGAUCAGCCACACUGGGACUGAGAUACGGCCCAGACUCCUACGGGAGGCAGCAGUGGGGAAUAUUGGACAAUGGGGGCAACCCUGAUCCAGCAAUGCCGCGUGAGUGAUGAAGGCCUUAGGGUUGUAAAGCUCUUUGCCGAGGAAGAUGAUGACUGUACCUGGAGAAUAAGCCCCGGCUAACUUCGUGCCAGCAGCC
RNAcentral lists this ribosomal RNA (449 nucleotides) under uncultured bacterium. Its description in RNAcentral is "bacterial SSU rRNA". It matches the Rfam family "Bacterial small subunit ribosomal RNA", at positions 29 to 516 of the family's 1533-position model. The record is from RNAcentral.